This 253-nucleotide ribosomal RNA is filed under the name uncultured bacterium. Its description in RNAcentral is "partial 16S ribosomal RNA". It matches the Rfam family "Bacterial small subunit ribosomal RNA", at positions 524 to 776 of the family's 1533-position model. The record is from RNAcentral.
UACGAAGGGGGCUAGCGUUGUUCGGAAUUACUGGGCGUAAAGCGCACGUAGGCGGAUCGAUCAGUCAGGGGUGAAAUCCCAGGGCUCAACCCUGGAACUGCCUUUGAUACUGUCGAUCUGGAGUAUGGAAGAGGUGAGUGGAAUUCCGAGUGUAGAGGUGAAAUUCGUAGAUAUUCGGAGGAACACCAGUGGCGAAGGCGGCUCACUGGUCCAUUACUGACGCUGAGACGCGAAAGCGUGGGGAGCAAACAGG